Molecule: non-coding RNA, 448 nt
Organism: Pelodiscus sinensis (Chinese soft-shelled turtle)
Lineage: Eukaryota; Metazoa; Chordata; Testudines; Trionychidae
Source: RefSeq, a predicted model, not a curated record
UGGCUCCCCUUUUGCAGUGUGGGGAGAGGCAGAUUGCGAACUCAGCUCUAGCUGGUCAGCAACCCUGGUAGGAAACGAAGCCCUGAACUCAGCUCGCUUAAUGGAAUCCAAACCGUUUUAAAAACAGAAGAAUUUUAAAGUGAGCCUUAAUGAGCACCAUCUUUCCUAGCGGCUGCCCAGGAAGCUAGGAGGCACCCACCUUCCCCGGUGAAUCGCAGACUAUUUCUUGUCGUGGGUCUUCAGCCCUUCAGAGGUCUCGGAAUGGAGCAGUGGGAGGUUAUAUUCCAAAUACGGACAGCUCUCACUCUGGGGGCAUGGCCAGGGGUGUGACAGGGAGCUGUACUGGGCCUCAGGCCAAGCUGGGCAUGCUGCUGCUGGAACCCAGGGUGCCAGGCACAGAGAGUUUUGCUGAAUUGAGAUGAAAACCGAAUGCAAGCCUUUUAACCAC